This 1785-nucleotide long non-coding RNA is filed under the name Pan troglodytes (chimpanzee). Its description in RNAcentral is "long non-coding RNA NONPTRT005709". Lineage: Eukaryota; Metazoa; Chordata; Mammalia; Primates; Hominidae. The record is from RNAcentral.
CGGGAAGGGCCGGCCCCCAUCCGCACCCCCGACCCCCGAGGUCAACAACAGGAUGGUCCCUGGGUCCCAGGGGAAGAGACAUCACCCAGUAGGAGGGAGCACGGUCUAGACAGAGGCCACGAGGGCGGGAGGGGGCGAGAGUGGAGAGUGGCCCAGCUGGCCAGGGUCGUCUAAGUGAGAGGAAAAGGGAGAGGGCGGUUGAGACCAGGCCCUGAAUUCCGCGUUCAUCUUAUCCUGAGGUAUUUAGUGCCGAGUGUGGCCUUGGUGCUAGGAUUCAAAGAGGAAAGGAAGAAAACUUUCCAUUCUAAAAGAAACUCUACGUAUGGCGAAGAAGAUGAAAUAUAGUCAGAAAACCAUACCAGUAGGUGGUAGGUAAAUGCAGAAGUAUUUAAGAGCUCAUACAGGAGUGCCUGCCUCAGGACAGGGAAUCUGAGAUGCUCCGCAGAGCUGGAUCUUAAAGAAUGGAUUAAGUUGAUAAAUGAUGCAUACAACAUCCUAUAGAAGACUGUCACCACCCCACCUCACUGAUCAGCCCUCUGCCUACAGCCACACCCACAGAACAUUCAGCCAUUUCUCCUGUGGUUCCCAGCCUGCAGCACAGCGUCUGCACGUGGAACUCUGGAAUGCUGACCUACAGUCUGAGUUCCUGUGCCCUUGCCUGGGGCUGACUCUCUACUUGACCUGUAACCCACAACUGGGCAAGAGAAAAUUCUGCAGCCACAGCUCUGAGGACAUGAGCAAAAUGGUUUCCAGAUGGAAUGUCAAGGAUUCCCAUGAAGUGUCAGGGAGUCUUCAGGCCACGCUUCAGGUUAUCUCCUUCUCUUUCCCUUUUCUGCUUCACACUUGCUCUCAUCCUCUUUCUCACCCCAUAUCUGGUCAGAGGAGAUAGGAAGGUUCUUGUUACCUGGUACAAGACAACUUUUGGAAUCCCAGAUAUUCAGAUUAUUUCCCCUUUUCCUCUUUGCAAAUGAUAAUACUCACAGCCAAGAGGCAUCACCCGGAUCCGAGGCUGCUUCUCCUUAGGACAUGCAGACAGAAGGAGAAGGCGGGGCUGGCAGCCUCCAGUCCACAGCCUCCCUUUCUCCUCCCGGCGAUGAUUAACUAGGCCUAGACAAUGGAGAUCUACGGCAUACGCCCAGGGCCUCCUCUUCUCAAGCAUGGCUGAUCAGUCACUUUCCCGUCUAUCCUUCAUUUAUUGAAGCCAACUAUGAACGACUAAAGGAAGGAUGAGAAAAGUCACCCAAAGUCAAAGGGGACAGCGUGGGAGACUGUUCUAGACAGAAGGAAACACCUUUGCAAAGGCCCUGAGGAAGGCAGGGGACUCUCCAGGAGCAGAAGGGCUGUGUGGCUUCAGAAUCCACAAAAGAGAGCAGAUACAGGACACUGGCUGGAGCAGGCCCUGGAGCCCGCUGCUGUCCUGGAGGCCUUGGGGAGGCCCAGUGUUCCCAGGGUGGAAGAAGUAGGGGACAGCUUGACGUAGUGGCUGUUGAUCAGCUGAUAUGGAAGUACGUCAUCUUAUUAACAAUUGAGAAAGGAGUGCUGUGCAAUUCCAUUCAAUGCCAGUGAUGCUUAUGGCCGUUUUUAUGAGUUCUGUCAUUUUCAAAUGAGCAAGAGGAAGCCUCUAAGGGGGUUUAAGCAGGGACUGACGUAAUCAGAUCUGUGUUUUUCCAAAGGGAGAGGGAGAAAAAGAACAUUUCUUAUUUUUCAAAAAAGGUAAUGCAAAAGCAUCAUUCCACAAUUCUCUUGUAAUGAAAAAAAUAAAUGCAAACUUAAGCAAAUCCAUCA